RNAcentral lists this long non-coding RNA (778 nucleotides) under Arachis ipaensis. RNAcentral's name for it is "long non-coding RNA (AIPA_LNC000823)". The record is from RNAcentral. Lineage: Eukaryota; Viridiplantae; Streptophyta; Magnoliopsida; Fabales; Fabaceae.
CCAAAGCACAAUAAGCCUACUCCUACCACUCCAUGUCCACCACCAAAGUCACCAAAACCAAGACCUCCCUAUGUCCCCAAGCCUCCAGUAAUAGUGCACCCACCCUACGUCCCAAAGCCACCAUAUGUACCAAAACCACCAUAUGUACCUAAGCCACCGGUUGUUAGACCACCAUAUGUACCAAAGCCACCGGUUGUAACUCCACCAUAUGUACCUAAGCCACCGGUUGUUACACCACCAUAUGUACCGAAACCACCGGUUGUAACUCCACCAUAUGUACCAAAGCCACCGGUUGUGACACCACCAUAUGUACCAAAGCCACCGGUUGUGACACCACCAUAUGUACCAAAGCCACCGGUGGUUACACCACCAUAUGUACCGAAACCGCCGGUUGUGACACCGCCAUAUGUACCAAAGCCACCAGUGGUUACACCACCUUAUGUUCCUACACCAUCACCACCAUAUGUACCAAAACCAUCUCCACCAGUUGUGACACCACCUUACACACCAAGGCCGCCCAUUAUUGUUCAUCCUCCGUACGUCCCGUUGCCACCAGUUGUACCCACACCGCCCAUCAUCUCACCUCCUCCAUAUGUACCGACGCCACCGGUGGUUACUCCACCAACGCCACCAAGUGAAACACCGUGUCCGCCACCGCCACCGCCGGCGCAACCAACAUGCCCCAUAGACUCGUUGAAGCUUGGUGCCUGUGUGGACGUUCUUGGCGGACUCAUACACAUCGGAAUCGGAGGAAGUGCUAAACAAACAUGCUGUCCGG